GACGAACGCUGGCGGCGUGCUUAACACAUGCAAGUCGAACGGAAAGGCCCUGCUUUUGUGGGGUGCUCGAGUGGCGAACGGGUGAGUAACACGUGAGUAACCUGCCCCUGACUUUGGGAUAACUUCAGGAAACUGGGGCUAAUACCGGAUAGGAGCUCCUGCUGCAUGGUGGGGGUUGGAAAGUUUCGGCGGUUGGGGAUGGACUCGCGGCUUAUCAGCUUGUUGGUGGGGUAGUGGCUUACCAAGGCUUUGACGGGUAGCCGGCCUGAGAGGGUGACCGGCCACAUUGGGACUGAGAUACGGCCCAGACUCCUACGGGAGGCAGCAGUGGGGAAUAUUGCACAAUGGGCGGAAGCCUGAUGCAGCAACGCCGCGUGCGGGAUGACGGCCUUCGGGUUGUAAACCGCUUUCGCCUGUGACGAAGCGUGAGUGACGGUAAUGGGUAAAGAAGCACCGGCUAACUGCGUG
RNAcentral lists this ribosomal RNA (468 nucleotides) under uncultured bacterium. RNAcentral describes it as "partial 16S ribosomal RNA". It matches the Rfam family "Bacterial small subunit ribosomal RNA", at positions 28 to 507 of the family's 1533-position model. The record is from RNAcentral.